AGCUCAGUCAGUUGAGCAUGGUGCUGAUAACACCAAGGUCGCUGGUUCGAUUCCCGU
RNAcentral lists this transfer RNA (57 nucleotides) under Apaloderma vittatum (bar-tailed trogon). It matches the Rfam family "tRNA", at positions 9 to 63 of the family's 71-position model. From Rfam's summary of the family: Transfer RNA (tRNA) molecules are approximately 80 nucleotides in length. Their secondary structure includes four short double-helical elements and three loops (D, anti-codon, and T loops). Lineage: Eukaryota; Metazoa; Chordata; Aves; Trogoniformes; Trogonidae. The record is from Rfam by way of RNAcentral.